RNAcentral lists this ribosomal RNA (422 nucleotides) under uncultured Anaerotruncus sp. Its description in RNAcentral is "bacterial SSU rRNA". It matches the Rfam family "Bacterial small subunit ribosomal RNA", at positions 355 to 794 of the family's 1533-position model. The record is from RNAcentral. Lineage: Bacteria; Bacillati; Bacillota; Clostridia; Eubacteriales; Oscillospiraceae.
UGGGGAAUAUUGCACAAUGGGCGCAAGCCUGAUGCAGCGAUGCCGCGUGAGGGAAGAAGGUUUUCGGAUUGUAAACCUCUGUCAUCAGGGACGAAAAAAGACGGUACCUGAGAAGGAAGCUCCGGCUAACUACGUGCCAGCAGCCGCGGUAAUACGUAGGUGGCAAGCGUUGUCCGGAAUUACUGGGUGUAAAGGGAGAGUAGGCGGGAUUGCAAGUCCGUUGUUAAAUCUAUCGGCUUAACCGGUAGCUGCGGCGGAAACUGUAGUUCUUGAGUGAAGUAGAGGCAGGCGGAAUUCCUAGUGUAGCGGUGAAAUGCGUAGAUAUUAGGAGGAACACCAGUGGCGAAGGCGGCCUGCUGGGCUUUAACUGACGCUGAGGCUCGAAAGUGUGGGGAGCAAGCAGGAUUAGAUACCCUGGUAGU